CUACGGGCGGCAGCAGUAGGGAAUCUUAGACAAUGGGGGAAACCCUGAUCUAGCCAUGCCGCGUGAGUGAUGAAGGCCUUAGGGUUGUAAAGCUCUUUCGCUGGGGAAGAUAAUGACGGUACCCAGUAAAGAAACCCCGGCUAACUCCGUGCCAGCAGCCGCGGUAAUACGGAGGGGGUUAGCGUUGUUCGGAAUUACUGGGCGUAAAGCGCGCGUAGGCGGGCUAUUAAGUCAGGGGUGAAAUCCCGGGGCUCAACCCCGGAACUGCCUUUGAUACUGGUAGUCAUGAGUUCGAGAGAGGUGAGUGGAAUUCCGAGUGUAGAGGUGAAAUUCGUAGAUAUUCGGAGGAACAUCAGUGGCGAAGGCGACUCACUGGCUCGAUACUGACGCUGAGGUGCGAAAGUGUGGGGAGCGAACAGGAUUAGAUACCCGUGUAGUC
Molecule: ribosomal RNA, 439 nt
Filed under: uncultured bacterium
Lineage: Bacteria
Description: partial 16S ribosomal RNA
Rfam family: Bacterial small subunit ribosomal RNA
Source: RNAcentral